UCCGUCCGUUCAAGGAUGGACGGGCACGAUCGACGCGGGGGACCUGACCUAGAACCUCACCAAACCCCAGGAGACCCCUCCCUCGGCAGCGCCUCGCCGAGCACCACCGCCAUGGCCGCCGCCUCCUCCCCCCUCGCCGCCGGCGACAGCGCGCACCGGCGGCAGUGGCGGUACACGUGGGAGACCCUGGCGCACCUCCCCCUCCUGCGUCUCUACCUCUCCCACCCGGCCCUCUCCGCCGCGGCGCCCUCCGGUCUCCGCGCCGACCUCCGCCUCGACGCCGACCUCCUCCUCCUCUCCUUCUUCCUUACGUCGGACCCCGUCUCCCUCAGGGUCCCCGUGCCGAGGGUGCUCGUGGACCCCUCCGUCCCGCCCGAGUGCCGUGCCGCGGGGGACCACCUCGAGGUCCGCCUCACCCUCGUCCUCCCCGUCGACCACCCCGUCGUCGCCGCCGCCUUCCCCGGCGCCGGCCCUCCCGCGCCCCUCUCCCUCCGCGAUGAUUUGAAGUCUCUAUCUUCUGGGGAUGUCCAUUUGUACUGCAAAACAUGCUCAGCAAGAUUGACAAAACAGCCACUAAGGGACGUUGUGGAAAUGCCAUCUUUAAAUUGGGAGGAUGUGGCUGACAAUUGGUUUGGUGGAUGUUGCACAUCAUUCGGAGGGGCAAGUGAGAAGUUAAUAUCACACUAUAUCAAUGCAUAUGGUCGCCUGCAGAGAACAACUCUACUAGAUGCUACCUCCAUUAUUAUAGAGAAGGAUUAUCUUGAGACAGAUAUAGUGUCGAGAGUAGAUAUUUCAGUGCCCAGUGUUGAUUUUGUUGCACUAGAAGAAGCUAUGUUUAAUGUUACUCUACAAAGCGAUCAUACUGCUGAGAAGAUAAAAUUGAAUAAUUCAGAAGAGGAGGUAUGCCAUGAAAAGAAAAUUGGUUCUAAUCACUUGCGACCUCCAGUUCUUUUGGAAGAGGGUCCUUGUAUUGAUAAUACUGAAAAAAAUGGAGGCACUCCUUGGACUGAUCAGUGUGGUACUAUCCAGCUGAAUAAUGGUGGCGAUGUGAACUCUGAGAAGUCUACAAGUGACUGUUUUAUUGAAAACAUGGAGCAAACUUCUCAAGAGGCUGAUUCGAAUCUGGUAGAUCCAUGCAGUUGCUGCGGUGACAGUGGAGAUAGUGGAAAAGCUGGAUUGGAGAACCAAAGAGAUUACAAGUUAACAAAAAGUAUCUCCCUUGGAAGUAGCUUUAUCAUUAAAGAAUCAAACCUUGUGAAAGAUGUUAACUGGGUUGAGCUUCUAUGUUCUCAUUGCUCGUCAUCUCUUGGGUCAUACCCAUCGCAAUAUUCAGAUGCUCCAUCAGAUGGACGGGUACGGCUGUUCAAAUGUUACACAUCCUCAGACCUUCCUGUUGGGGGUCCUCAUGAUGUGUUCAGGGGACACACAUUGGAAAAACUAUUUGUUAAUUUGUUGCUUGAAAUAGCUGAAGAUGAAAUAUCUUUUCGUACAGUAGUGAGAGAUUUGAAAACCAAAAGGCCCAUGCUGCAAAUAGUCCUUCUUAGUUCAAAAGCAUGGAUGUUUUCUGGUUACUGCUGUGAAAAUGAAAUGGAUGGUUCACAUGUGACAGCACAUCUGCAGCCUACUGUUAAGCUCCUGUAUUCUAACUGCAGUAGUGCGUCAGAAACAGACUUAAGGACAGUAGAGGAGUGGUCAUCCAAAUAUCGGGCUGAACAGUUAUACAUGAUGGUCGGGCAGAUAAAUGAACUUACUGAAUGCCUUAGCUCAGCUAAGGAUGAGUUCCCUCUUUCUUGCUCGUCUCUUGAAGGAAUGUGUCUUUCGUCUCUGGAGCGUUGAUUCGAUUUUAAGAUGCUAAUACUUUACUCAUGAUGCCCCAAGCCGCUGACUGAUCAUUGUAUCAUGCAUCUCUGGUGGAGACCCUAAUCAUAUAUACCAAGCACUGUUCCUGCCUAUCUCAGUUUAGUAGUCGUUUGGCGAGCUGGUUAUCCCAUCUGUACACUGCGAGAUUUCUGGACUCCCUCCUGUUGGCACAAGGCUGAGUGACAGACGGAGUUCUUAUUCAACAUGCUUUUGCUGAUAGAGGUUUCAGCCUUCUCGUCAUCUACUCUAAGAAGUAUUUGGCACAUUGUUGUAGCUAUACAGCGUUAAUGGUCAACCCACUAACCUGCAUGUAUUCUGUAUUCUGGUCAAAGCAGGAGAAGCGGUAAGGAACUUGCCUUUGAGCAAUGUGGUGGCCCAGGCAUAGAGGGAUCCAAGGGAGAAAAGGAUAGCAGUAUAGCACUGGCCAGUGGCCAAAGUCCCAGUGGAGCCGUUGCACUAGUAUCUGAAUUUUAUAUUGGCUGGACAUGUUAUCCAUCCAUCUAUUUGCUCUGAUCAUCAAACUGUGGCUGCAUCCAUGCAGCAGCAUCUGAGACCAGGUAUUUAAUGGAAUAGAACAUUCUACCAUAUAUAGGUGAAGUGAAGCUAGCCUACGCUACGCUACACGAGGGCUGUUGUUGAUCUGAUCUUCAAGGUUAGUGUUGAGUAUAAAAGAAAGAAGUCGGUAAGCUUAUAUGAGCAUCCAUAUGUUUGUUGUGUUGACUUCUGCAUUCUUUUUGGUGGCUUUUUGAGCGUCUGGGAUCUGGUGUAUCAUUUUAGUUAGUUGGUAAAAACUCGAUACAAUCGAGGGAUGCAUGCAUCCUCCUGUAGUAUGAAGAACCUGUUAUAAAUUAAUGGUGGGGAAACAUAUGCUUGUAUUUAUUGUUUGAAAAAGCCAGCAUGAAUCAUUGCUCUUUUUCUCGAAUUAAUAAUUUUUUCCAGGUACAAAAGGAGUAGGUCACUCUUUUUUGUACGACAUGCAAAAGAAUCAGCAACUUGAUCUUGUUUAAAUUAAUUAGUACUUGAAAUUGGGAUCCUACCAAAACAUUAUUUCCCCCCUGGAAGCUCGAGAAAGCAAAACACUUUAGAGAAAAACCUACUGAGUAUAUUAUUAUCAACUAAAGUGACGCAGGUUUUCUGGGAUUUAAUUGAUCUUCUGUUUGGAACUGAGUGUUUCAAAUUUUGGCGGGCUUAGAGGUUGGCCUGGCCGGUGUGUUAAAAGUAGGGAUAGCCAUGUGUAUAAAAAUGCUAGUGUUUUUAUUGGACGUGCUAGCGUCGGGAGGGCGGCCGUUGCGGGAAAUCGGCCGCCUCCUGCCCCCAGUCUUACUUAAACGAUGCUUCUAGAGCGUCCAAUCACAGUAACAAAAGCAAAUAAUCCAAGUGCAACAUUUUUUUGUGGGUAUAUGACUUUCUCACGAUCUGCCAGAGAAUGUGAAAAAAAUGGUGCAAUGUUUUCA
Triticum aestivum (bread wheat) is the source of this 3314-nucleotide RNA transcript. RefSeq lists it as uncharacterized. The transcript is spliced from 6 exons. NCBI's taxonomy places the organism in Eukaryota, Viridiplantae, Streptophyta, Magnoliopsida, Poales, Poaceae. The record is from RefSeq and is a predicted model, not a curated record.